This is a long non-coding RNA of Bos taurus (domestic cattle), 1359 nucleotides long. The record is from Ensembl. Lineage: Eukaryota; Metazoa; Chordata; Mammalia; Artiodactyla; Bovidae.
CCUGAGGGAGUUCAGGGUGGAGUGAGGCACUCUGUGCUCCAGGGAAUCUGGUGGGACAGGUCUUUAGAUAGUUGAAUGUUUUUAGGAACAGAUUUUAUGAUCUUGCAUCUCCUCAUAUCUAGAGAAACACUAAAUCCCUUCAUGGUGACAUCAGAUCCUCAUGACUAACAAAAAACCUUUUGUAAAUUGAGUGAUUCAUGGUAUUGAACUCCCCCUUCAGCUACUGCUGCUGCUGUGUCACUUCAGUUGUGUCCGACUCUGUGUGACCCCAUAGAUGGCAGCCCACCAGUUUCCCCCAUCCCUGGGAUUCUCCAGGCAAGAACACUGGAGUGGGUUGCCAUUUCCUUCUCCAAUGCAUGAAAGUGAAAAGUGAAAGUGAAGUUGCUCAGUCAUGUCCCAUUCUUUGUGACUCCACCUACUGCAGCCCACCAGGUUCCCCCGUCCCUGGGAUCCUUCAGGCAAGAACACUGGAGUGGGUUGCCAUUUCCUUCUCCAGUGUAUGAAAGUGAAAAGUGGAAGUGAAGUCGAUCAGGUGUGUCCAACUCCUAGCGACCCCAUGGACUGCAGCCUACCAGGCUCCUCCAUCCAUGGGAUUUGCCAGGCAAGAGUACUGGAGUGGGUUGCCAUUGCCUUCUCCGCCCCCUUCAGCAAAACGUCUUAUAUUGAUUUUCCCCCACUGUCUCUUUGGAGCAGCUAUCUGAGAUGUAGCCUCCAGGGCUGAAGUCCUCAUUUUGCCUCAAAUAAAACUUAACUCACAACUCUCAAGUUGUAUAUCUUUUUUUAGUCGACAAUACUGCCAUGGUAUUUUCAUCUUUGGGAUUGUGUUUGUCUUUACAGUCAAUGAGAAAAACAAGAGAUGGGGCCUAAAAUCUAAAGGAUAUGUUUGCACCCAACAAAGCCUAAAUGUCACUGCAACACACUAUAUGGAUGAAAGUUUCACAUUAUAAAAGAAUGUCAGCAUGAAACAGAUGAAAGGACGGACUGGAGCUUGAUCCUGCUUGGUCUCCUGAUCAUCUACGAGAACUUGGACAGUCUGGGUGCAGAACGGAGGACAAAGGAGGCAGUUUACUCUAGGACCCCAGAGGAACUCCAGCUUAGGUGGGGGAGUACAUUUGAAGGGGUGGAUUAGCUCAUAGCAGGGUCACACUAGCUUCAAAGAGCUCUGUUUGGUUCUGCAGCAGCUACUGGAUGGUGGGUAGGCAGGGGAAAGGGUGGCACACAUCCCAUUUUCUAUUGUUGAGUAAUAUGGCUCUGCUGCUGUCAAAAUCAGUCAUUAAAGCAAAGAGCAAUAAUGGGUUAGCAACAACACAGAGGCCCGCAAUAACAAUGGAGAUGAAAAUAGGAUGCUUGGGAAAAGGU